AAAAAACUUUGCAAUUUUAUAAGGUUAUUUUUAAUUUUGGUCCACAAGUGUCCAUGUUCACAGUUUUAUUGAGACAAAGAUAAGUUUCUGUUCAUGUGCAUAGUAGUGUUGAAGGAACUUGAUGAGUAAAUGUUCCUGCUGCUUUGCAGGAUUCUAGGUAGAAUUACUUAUUACUUUCUUCAUCACUUUUGAUGCAUUGUUUAAUUGUUUCUGGGAUAUGUUUUUUAGGACUAAGGCGGAGCCUACAAUUUAUUAUUUGCCUAACAAAGCAUUGGAUGAAGAUGCAACAUUGCUUGAGCAUCGCAAAGAA
RNAcentral lists this unclassified non-coding RNA (310 nucleotides) under Hevea brasiliensis (rubber tree). Lineage: Eukaryota; Viridiplantae; Streptophyta; Magnoliopsida; Malpighiales; Euphorbiaceae. The record is from RNAcentral.